GGGUUGUGAGGUUAAGCGACUAAGCGUACACGGUGGAUGCCCUGGCAGUCAGAGGCGAUGAAGGACGUGCUAAUCUGCGAUAAGCGUCGGUAAGGUGAUAUGAACCGUUAUAACCGGCGAUUUCCGAAUGGGGAAACCCAGUGUGUUUCGACACACUAUCAUUAACUGAAUCCAUAGGUUAAUGAGGCGAACCGGGGGAACUGAAACAUCUAAGUACCCCGAGGAAAAGAAAUCAACCGAGAUUCCCCCAGUAGCGGCGAGCGAACGGGGAGCAGCCCAGAGCCUGAAUCAGUAUGUGUGUUAGUGGAAGCGUCUGGAAAGGCGCGCGAUACAGGGUGACAGCCCCGUACACAAAAAUGCACAUAUUGUGAGCUCGAUGAGUAGGGCGGGACACGUGGUAUCCUGUCUGAAUAUGGGGGGACCAUCCUCCAAGGCUAAAUACUCCUGACUGACCGAUAGUGAACCAGUACCGUGAGGGAAAGGCGAAAAGAACCCCGGCGAGGGGAGUGAAAAAGAACCUGAAACCGUGUACGUACAAGCAGUGGGAGCACGCUUAGGCGUGUGACUGCGUACCUUUUGUAUAAUGGGUCAGCGACUUAUAUUCUGUAGCAAGGUUAACCGAAUAGGGGAGCCGAAGGGAAACCGAGUCUUAACUGGGCGUUAAGUUGCAGGGUAUAGACCCGAAACCCGGUGAUCUAGCCAUGGGCAGGUUGAAGGUUGGGUAACACUAACUGGAGGACCGAACCGACUAAUGUUGAAAAAUUAGCGGAUGACUUGUGGCUGGGGGUGAAAGGCCAAUCAAACCGGGAGAUAGCUGGUUCUCCCCGAAAGCUAUUUAGGUAGCGCCUCGUGAAUUCAUCUCCGGGGGUAGAGCACUGUUUCGGCAAGGGGGUCAUCCCGACUUACCAACCCGAUGCAAACUGCGAAUACCGGAGAAUGUUAUCACGGGAGACACACGGCGGGUGCUAACGUCCGUCGUGAAGAGGGAAACAACCCAGACCGCCAGCUAAGGUCCCAAAGUCAUGGUUAAGUGGGAAACGAUGUGGGAAGGCCCAGACAGCCAGGAUGUUGGCUUAGAAGCAGCCAUCAUUUAAAGAAAGCGUAAUAGCUCACUGGUCGAGUCGGCCUGCGCGGAAGAUGUAACGGGGCUAAACCAUGCACCGAAGCUGCGGCAGCGACACUAUGUGUUGUUGGGUAGGGGAGCGUUCUGUAAGCCUGUGAAGGUGUACUGUGAGGUAUGCUGGAGGUAUCAGAAGUGCGAAUGCUGACAUAAGUAACGAUAAAGCGGGUGAAAAGCCCGCUCGCCGGAAGACCAAGGGUUCCUGUCCAACGUUAAUCGGGGCAGGGUGAGUCGACCCCUAAGGCGAGGCCGAAAGGCGUAGUCGAUGGGAAACAGGUUAAUAUUCCUGUACUUGGUGUUACUGCGAAGGGGGGACGGAGAAGGCUAUGUUGGCCGGGCGACGGUUGUCCCGGUUUAAGCGUGUAGGCUGGUUUUCCAGGCAAAUCCGGAAAAUCAAGGCUGAGGCGUGAUGACGAGGCACUACGGUGCUGAAGCAACAAAUGCCCUGCUUCCAGGAAAAGCCUCUAAGCAUCAGGUAACAUCAAAUCGUACCCCAAACCGACACAGGUGGUCAGGUAGAGAAUACCAAGGCGCUUGAGAGAACUCGGGUGAAGGAACUAGGCAAAAUGGUGCCGUAACUUCGGGAGAAGGCACGCUGAUAUGUAGGUGAGGUCCCUCGCGGAUGGAGCUGAAAUCAGUCGAAGAUACCAGCUGGCUGCAACUGUUUAUUAAAAACACAGCACUGUGCAAACACGAAAGUGGACGUAUACGGUGUGACGCCUGCCCGGUGCCGGAAGGUUAAUUGAUGGGGUUAGCGCAAGCGAAGCUCUUGAUCGAAGCCCCGGUAAACGGCGGCCGUAACUAUAACGGUCCUAAGGUAGCGAAAUUCCUUGUCGGGUAAGUUCCGACCUGCACGAAUGGCGUAAUGAUGGCCAGGCUGUCUCCACCCGAGACUCAGUGAAAUUGAACUCGCUGUGAAGAUGCAGUGUACCCGCGGCAAGACGGAAAGACCCCGUGAACCUUUACUAUAGCUUGACACUGAACAUUGAGCCUUGAUGUGUAGGAUAGGUGGGAGGCUUUGAAGUGUGGACGCCAGUCUGCAUGGAGCCGACCUUGAAAUACCACCCUUUAAUGUUUGAUGUUCUAACGUUGACCCGUAAUCCGGGUUGCGGACAGUGUCUGGUGGGUAGUUUGACUGGGGCGGUCUCCUCCUAAAGAGUAACGGAGGAGCACGAAGGUUGGCUAAUCCUGGUCGGACAUCAGGAGGUUAGUGCAAUGGCAUAAGCCAGCUUGACUGCGAGCGUGACGGCGCGAGCAGGUGCGAAAGCAGGUCAUAGUGAUCCGGUGGUUCUGAAUGGAAGGGCCAUCGCUCAACGGAUAAAAGGUACUCCGGGGAUAACAGGCUGAUACCGCCCAAGAGUUCAUAUCGACGGCGGUGUUUGGCACCUCGAUGUCGGCUCAUCACAUCCUGGGGCUGAAGUAGGUCCCAAGGGUAUGGCUGUUCGCCAUUUAAAGUGGUACGCGAGCUGGGUUUAGAACGUCGUGAGACAGUUCGGUCCCUAUCUGCCGUGGGCGCUGGAGAACUGAGGGGGGCUGCUCCUAGUACGAGAGGACCGGAGUGGACGCAUCACUGGUGUUCGGGUUGUCAUGCCAAUGGCACUGCCCGGUAGCUAAAUGCGGAAGAGAUAAGUGCUGAAAGCAUCUAAGCACGAAACUUGCCCCGAGAUGAGUUCUCCCUGACUCCUUGAGAGUCCUGAAGGAACGUUGAAGACGACGACGUUGAUAGGCCGGGUGUGUAAGCGCAGCGAUGCGUUGAGCUAACCGGUACUAAUGAACCGUGAGGCUUAACCUUACAACGCCGAAGCUGUU
This 2929-nucleotide ribosomal RNA is filed under the name Escherichia coli. Its description in RNAcentral is "23S ribosomal RNA". It matches the Rfam family "Bacterial large subunit ribosomal RNA". The record is from RNAcentral. Lineage: Bacteria; Pseudomonadati; Pseudomonadota; Gammaproteobacteria; Enterobacterales; Enterobacteriaceae.